CUGGUGUGAAUUGCAGAAUCCCGUGAACCAUCGAGUCUUUGAACGCAAGUUGCGCCCCAAGCCUUCUGGCCGAGGGCACGUCUGCCUGGGUGUCACAAAUCGUCGUUCCCCCUCAUCCUUCAAGGAUUCGGGACGGAAGCUGAUCUCCCGUGUGUUACCGCACGCGGUUGAUCGAAAUCCGAGCCAAGGAUGCCUUGAGCGUCCCGACAUGCGGUGGUGAACUCGUUCAACUCUCCCUAUCGUCGGUCGCUCUUGUCCGGAAGCUCUAGAUGACCCAAAGUCUUCAAUGCGACCCCAGGUCAGGCGGGAUCACCCGCUGAGUUUAAGCAUAUCAAUAAGCGGAGGAAAAGAAACUAACAAGGAUUCCCUUAGUAACGGCGAGCGAACCGGGAAGAGCCCAGCUUGAAAAUCGGACGUCUUCGGCGUUCGA
Molecule: ribosomal RNA, 430 nt
Filed under: Capsella bursa-pastoris (shepherd's purse)
Lineage: Eukaryota; Viridiplantae; Streptophyta; Magnoliopsida; Brassicales; Brassicaceae
Description: eukaryotic LSU rRNA
Rfam family: Eukaryotic large subunit ribosomal RNA (bases 290-430)
Source: RNAcentral